Molecule: ribosomal RNA, 750 nt
Filed under: uncultured bacterium
Lineage: Bacteria
Description: bacterial SSU rRNA
Rfam family: Bacterial small subunit ribosomal RNA
Source: RNAcentral
AUUGAACGCUGGCGGCAGGCUUAACACAUGCAAGUCGAACGAUGAAGAUAUAGCUUGCUAUAUCGGAUUAGUGGCGGACGGGUGAGUAACACUUAGGAAUCUACCUUUUAGCGGGGGAUAGCUCGGGGAAACUCGAAUUAAUACCGCAUAAUUUCUACGGAAUAAAGAGGGCCUUUAGCUCUCACUAGAAGAUGAGCCUAAGUAAGAUUAGCUAGUUGGUGGGGUAAAAGCCUACCAAGGCGACGAUCUUUAGCUGGUCUGAGAGGAUGAUCAGCCACACUGGGACUGAGACACGGCCCAGACUCCUACGGGAGGCAGCAGUGGGGAAUAUUGGACAAUGGGGGCAACCCUGAUCCAGCCAUGCCGCGUGUGUGAAGAAGGCCUUUUGGUUGUAAAGCACUUUAAGCAGUGAAGAAGACCUAUUGGUUAAUACCCAAUAGCAAUGACAUUAACUGCAGAAUAAGCACCGGCUAACUCUGUGCCAGCAGCCGCGGUAAUACAGAGGGUGCAAGCGUUAAUCGGAAUUACUGGGCGUAAAGCGAGCGUAGGUGGUUAAAUAAGUCAGAUGUGAAAGCCCUGGGCUCAACCUAGGAACGGCAUCUGAAACUAUUUAACUAGAGUAGGUGAGAGGGAAGUAGAAUUUCAGGUGUAGCGGUGAAAUGCGUAGAGAUCUGAAGGAAUACCGAUGGCGAAGGCAGCUUCCUGGCAUCAUACUGACACUGAGGCUCGAAAGCGUGGGUAGCAAACAGG